Molecule: long non-coding RNA, 205 nt
Filed under: Rattus norvegicus (Norway rat)
Lineage: Eukaryota; Metazoa; Chordata; Mammalia; Rodentia; Muridae
Description: long non-coding RNA NONRATT015185
Source: RNAcentral
CCUCAGCAACGUGUGAUUGGAGGUUGGACAUCCGGUUGCACAUCCUCACAUCAAUGCACUGCCAAUGGAUUUUCUCAUUCUGCAUUUACCUUUGGUAUAGAGAGCCAUAUAAGUCAGUCCAACAUAAAUGGUGCCCUCGUCCCACCCGCUGCACUCAUCUCUAUCAUCCAGAAAGGCCUGCAAUAUGUAGAGGCAGAAGUUAGCA